Molecule: ribosomal RNA, 449 nt
Filed under: uncultured bacterium
Lineage: Bacteria
Description: partial 16S ribosomal RNA
Rfam family: Bacterial small subunit ribosomal RNA
Source: RNAcentral
GUCGAGAAUCUUUCACAAUGGGGGCAACCCUGAUGGAGCGACGCCGCGUGGAGGAUAAGGUCUUCGGAUUGUAAACUCCUGUCAUGCGUGAACAAGGUUGCUUGGUUAAUACCUGGGCAAAUUGAUGGUAACGCAAGAGGAAGAGACGGCUAACUCUGUGCCAGCAGCCGCGGUAAUACAGAGGUCUCAAGCGUUGUUCGGAAUCACUGGGCGUAAAGGGUGCGUAGGUGGCGUGGUAAGUCAGAUGUGAAAGCCCGGUGCUCAACCUCGGAACUGCAUCCGAUACUGCCAUGCUAGAGUACUGGAGAGGUGACUAGAAUUCUCGGUGUAGCAGUGAAAUGCGUAGAUAUCGAGAGGAAUACCAAAGGCGUAGGCAGGUCACUGGACAGUUACUGACACUGAGGCACGAAGGCCAGGGGAGCGAACGGGAUUAGAUACCCCUGUAGUCC